RNAcentral lists this ribosomal RNA (253 nucleotides) under uncultured bacterium. Its description in RNAcentral is "partial 16S ribosomal RNA". It matches the Rfam family "Bacterial small subunit ribosomal RNA", at positions 524 to 776 of the family's 1533-position model. The record is from RNAcentral.
UACGAAGGGGGCUAGCGUUGCUCGGAAUCACUGGGCGUAAAGCGCACGUAGGCGGAUUGCUAAGUCAGGGGUGAAAUCCUGGAGCUCAACUCCAGAACUGCCCUUGAUACUGGCGGUCUCGAGUCCGGGAGAGGUGAGUGGAACUGCGAGUGUAGAGGUGAAAUUCGUAGAUAUCCGGAGGAACACCGGUGGCGAAGGCGGCUUCCUGGACCGACACUGACGCUGAGGCGCGAAAGCUAGGGGAGCAAACGGG